RNAcentral lists this transfer RNA (72 nucleotides) under Bos taurus (domestic cattle). It matches the Rfam family "tRNA". Rfam says of the family: Transfer RNA (tRNA) molecules are approximately 80 nucleotides in length. Their secondary structure includes four short double-helical elements and three loops (D, anti-codon, and T loops). RNAcentral also lists the same sequence under 2 other names. The record is from Rfam by way of RNAcentral. Lineage: Eukaryota; Metazoa; Chordata; Mammalia; Artiodactyla; Bovidae.
UCCCUGGUGGUUCAGUGGCUAAGACUCUGCACUCCCAUUGCAGCGGCCUAGGUUCAAUCUCUAGUCAGGGAA